RNAcentral lists this non-coding RNA (45 nucleotides) under Schistosoma mattheei. Lineage: Eukaryota; Metazoa; Platyhelminthes; Trematoda; Strigeidida; Schistosomatidae. The record is from RNAcentral.
AUUCAGCUGAUGGGUCCCAACUGGGACGAAACGCGCGUCCUGGAU